AUUGUUUUGGCAGAUAAUUGCGGUAGAUUUAGGAUCUAUUUAUGAGUUUUUCAAACAAUA
This 60-nucleotide transfer RNA is filed under the name Caprella penantis. RNAcentral describes it as "tRNA-Leu". Lineage: Eukaryota; Metazoa; Arthropoda; Malacostraca; Amphipoda; Caprellidae. The record is from RNAcentral.